UACAGAGGUCUCAAGCGUUGUUCGGAUUCAUUGGGCGUAAAGGGUGCGUAGGUGGCGCUGUAAGUCGGGUGUGAAAUUCGUAGCUUAACUCCGAAACUGCAUUCGAUACUGCGGUGCUUGAGGACUGGAGAGGAGACUGGAAUUCAUGGUGUAGCAGUGAAAUGCGUAGAGAUCAUGAGGAAGACCAGUGGCGAAGGCGGGUCUCUGGACAGUUCCUGACACUGAGGCACGAAGGCCAGGGGAGCAAACGGG
RNAcentral lists this ribosomal RNA (252 nucleotides) under uncultured bacterium. RNAcentral describes it as "partial 16S ribosomal RNA". It matches the Rfam family "Bacterial small subunit ribosomal RNA", at positions 524 to 776 of the family's 1533-position model. The record is from RNAcentral.